This 440-nucleotide ribosomal RNA is filed under the name uncultured bacterium. RNAcentral's name for it is "partial 16S ribosomal RNA". It matches the Rfam family "Bacterial small subunit ribosomal RNA", at positions 338 to 795 of the family's 1533-position model. The record is from RNAcentral.
CCUACGGGAGGCAGCAGUGGGGAAUAUUGCACAAUGGGGGGAACCCUGAUGCAGCAACGCCGCGUGGGUGAAGAAGUACUUCGGUAUGUAAAGCCCUGUCAGCAGGGAAGAAAAUGACGGUACCUGACCAAGAAGCCCCGGCUAACUACGUGCCAGCAGCCGCGGUAAUACGUAGGGGGCAAGCGUUAUCCGGAUUUACUGGGUGUAAAGGGAGCGUAGACGGCGAUGCAAGCCAGGAGUGAAAGCCCGGGGCCCAACCCCGGGACUGCUCUUGGAACUGCGUGGCUAGAGUGCAGGAGGGGCAGGCGGAAUUCCUGGUGUAGCGGUGAAAUGCGUAGAUAUCAGGAGGAACACCGGUGGCGAAGGCGGCCUGCUGGACUGCAACUGACGUUGAGGCCCGAAAGCGUGGGGAGCAAACAGGAUUAGAUACCCCAGUAGUC